UCAACCGAGACUCCGGAAGUAGUGGCGAGCGAACCCGGACCAGGCCAGUGGCGAUGAUGAGACAAGCGGAACCUUCUGGAAAGUAGGGCCAUAGUGGGUGACAGCCCCGUACGCGUAAUGCAAAUCAUCGUCCUCGAGUAAGGCGGGACACGUGAAAUCCUGUCUGAAAUUGGGGGGACCACCCUCCAAGCCUAAGUACUCGUGCAUGACCGAUAGCGAACUAGUACCGUGAGGGAAAG
RNAcentral lists this ribosomal RNA (239 nucleotides) under Mesorhizobium sp. RNAcentral describes it as "partial 23S ribosomal RNA". It matches the Rfam family "Bacterial large subunit ribosomal RNA", at positions 225 to 513 of the family's 2925-position model. Lineage: Bacteria; Pseudomonadati; Pseudomonadota; Alphaproteobacteria; Hyphomicrobiales; Phyllobacteriaceae. The record is from RNAcentral.